AGCAGCCGCGGUAAUUCCAGCUCCAAUAGCGUAUAUUAAAGUUGUUGCAGUUAAAAAGCUCGUAGUUGAAUUUCGGGAUUGACGUGAUGGUCGUGCCUUAAGGGGUAUGAACUGUUGCUGUUGAUUUCUCACCUUCUGGAGAAACUUGAUGUCCUUAAUUGGGUGUCUUGCGGAUCCAGGACCUUUACCUUGAAAAAAUUAGAGUGUUUAAAGCAGGCAUUUUGCUCGAAUACAUUAGCAUGGAAUAAUAGAAUAGGACGGCAUGGUUCUAUUUUGUUGGUUUCUAGGAUCACCGUAAUGAUUAAUAGGGAUAGUUGGGGGCAUUAGUAUUCAAUUGUCAGAGGUGAAAUUCUUGGAUUUAUUGAAGACUAACUACUGCGAAAGCAUUUGCCAAGGAUGUUUUCAUUAAUCAAGAACGAAAGUUAGGGGAUCGAAGACGAUCAGAUACCGUCGUAGUCUUAACCAUAAACUAUGCCGACUAGGAAUCAGACGAUGUUAAUUUUUAAUGACUCGU
This 514-nucleotide ribosomal RNA is filed under the name uncultured Entrophospora. RNAcentral describes it as "SSU rRNA". It matches the Rfam family "Eukaryotic small subunit ribosomal RNA", at positions 569 to 1079 of the family's 1831-position model. The record is from RNAcentral. Lineage: Eukaryota; Fungi; Glomeromycota; Glomeromycetes; Entrophosporales; Entrophosporaceae.